UACAGAGGUCUCAAGCGUUGUUCGGAUUCAUUGGGCGUAAAGGGUGUGUAGGUGGCGCCGUAAGUCGGGUGUGAAAUUUCGGAGCUUAACUCCGAAACUGCAUUCGAUACUGCGGUGCUUGAAGACUGGAGAGGAGACUGGAAUUCAUGGUGUAGCAGUGAAAUGCGUAGAGAUCAUGAGGAAGACCAGUGGCGAAGGCGGGUCUCUGGACAGUUCCUGACGCUGAGGCACGAAGGCCAGGGGAGCAAACGGG
This 253-nucleotide ribosomal RNA is filed under the name uncultured bacterium. RNAcentral describes it as "partial 16S ribosomal RNA". It matches the Rfam family "Bacterial small subunit ribosomal RNA", at positions 524 to 776 of the family's 1533-position model. The record is from RNAcentral.